UGGCGGGAAAAAAGAAAAGCCUAUUACAGACUACAGAGACCAGUUCCUUCUGGCUUCUUCCACUCCUACUCCCUUGGUUCGCAUUCGUACUCAAGCCAUUCCAUAAAUAUAGACCAAGCUCGAUUUUCCUUCUACUGCUGUUCAACCCAUUAGUCCAAAAUUUCGCCUGAACUUCUCAUUCAGAGGGAAAUAAAAAAGAUGGGAUGGUCUCAUCCAGACAUUUCUCUGGAAGAUCUGCUAAGGUUGAUCAAAGGGUUUGUAGAUAUCUUAAUUCUGGCAUCUGGGUAUCAAUCAUCAGGUCUUCCUGCUAUUUGGGAUGCUCAAAAUGUCAAAAAAGUCGUGAGUUGGGGCAUUUUCUUCGAAAAUGUAUUCAGACGCUUAAGAGGCUUAGAUGGUUAUGAAGACUCAGUGAAGGAAGUUGAUGCAGCUUUACUUGAAAUGACAUCCAAUCCUUAUUUCCCUCAGGGUCUCAAACGUCUGUCAUCUGCAACUCUUAGCAGAGCUAGAUAUUUUGUUUUCCAUCAUCUACUUAAUACCUUACCUUUGAGUGAUGCACAUCUAAGUGCUGUGCUAAGGGCAGCUGUUGAAAUGGAUCUGGAUGACCUUAGAGGAGGAGAGUAUGAUUGCCUUAAUGUGUAUCUUGACAAAUUGUUGCUGCAGACCACAUCGUUAAAUCUGGUUUCUGAAAAAAGCCUACCUAAUUCAAUGACUUCAUAUCCAGAUAUUGUUUCAUCAUCUCAUGACCAAACUGUACACGGUUCAAUGCACAAUCUUUGUGGCACAGAAAAUGGAACGGAUCAUGAGCCUCUUUUCAAUCUUUCAAACCUGAAUUCCAAGAAACCCUGUAGUGGUAACCACUCAGAGCUUGUCAUUCAAGAACUUUCAAAGAGGCAAAUUGCAGUAUCAUGCAUAUCAUCAGUUGAAAUUGGCUUGGACAUUCUCUCCAGGGCGACCAAUGGUAGCAAAUGUGUUGACGCUGGUAGUCACCUUUUGGAAGGGCAAUUAUACUAUAGUAAUUCUCCACUGAGAAAAGAUCAAUUUGUGGAAUUUGCAGUAUUGAACAGGUGGAGAUCAGGGAAUCUCUCAUAUAUGCUUGACAAAAGAACUAUUAGACUGGUCUCAGGUGCUAACUUGAUAUUUUCUGCCCCUAAGGUUCAAUGGCUUCAAGUGUUUGAUCAACUGAAAAUUUCAAUUGGAAAGUUUGGCGAUGAUCUACUUGAAGUAAUUGAGCUCUCCUUAUUGGGGUGUAUAGCAAGCAGAUGGAGUUGUAUAAUAGAAUACUUCAUGUCUGUUUCUUAUGAUGUCCUUAGUAUCUCAAAGCAAUACCAUGAAGUGCACAACUUGCUUCAGGGAAGAUCUCAAUGUCUAUAUCCCAAAGAGGAAAAGAUGGAGUCAAAGGAAAACAGCAUUCUUGAGUAUUUGACAGUGUUACUUAGUAGUCAACUUCACCAGUUAUGGAAGAUAUCCCCGAUCCUUGCAGCAGUUGCAAUUCCUUCCUGGUCACCCUUGUUCAAAUUGUAUUUGAGUGAAAUAGAGUCACAACUGAAAGAAAGUUCUUCCACCAUUAGAUGCUGUACUUGCAUUCAGGAUGGUAAAGAGCACAAAGAAUGUGAACUUGCUGAAAGGAUUUGGUGUCUUCACGUGUUUCACAUUCGUGGUUCACAUCUAAUGUUUCACUCUUGUAAUGAUCAACUGUUUAGAUUCCCAGCAUGUCCUAUGUGAGAAGUCUAGGUGUUUUUGCUUUUUAUUUAAAGGUUCUAUGAUCCAUUAUUAAAACAUUUAUUGACAUUUUGUUCCUCAAUUCUGGCCAGUAAUGUUUCCCUUUGUAUAUGCUAAAUAUUAACUCAUCAUGUUGACUUGAUAUAUGGUUGUUAUUUCUUUAUUUAUUUGGGGUGGGGACUGGGGAGGAGGGGGUUUUGGAGCAUCGUAUUGACCUUUCUCAAAUUCCUAUGCAACCUUCGCCAGCAUUAAGUCAUGAUCCACCAAGCAACUCUGGACUGUGGUCUGCGGGAGAGUUUCGUCCUACUUUUGUCUUUCUUAUACUUCCGCGUGGAGAAUUUUCUUCAAGCAUCUACAAAAGUUGGACGGUCACUAAGAUUAAUAUUGGUAACUUUUUGAUAGCCAAUCGAAAUUUAAAGUUUCUUUCCAAUCACCGUCGAUGUUACUUAACUAGGACAAGUCAUCUUUUAUCCACUCACCAACGUGAAACACCGAGACUGGAAGCCAAACAAUGAAACAAAUUGCAUGGGGUGUAGUACAUUCUCUUCUCACUUCCAGCCAAUGGGAGACUGACAGCCUGUAACAGGUGUGGUACCUCUUAUGUGAUAGUGAUGCCUGAAUAUGACGUCUCAUUGGCCAUUGUCAUUGCGAAGCAAUAUAAACAAUGUUCGCGGAAAUGUCACAAACUCAGCUGAGGGAGGAGCUACUGAUAAGGGUAUCCACUCCAGUAUAGGAAGCAUGAAGAGAACUCAAAUUAUGAGGUGUGGAAAGAGAAUAGUUGCUAAAAUUUCCGUGGUUAUUCUUGUAGCUGCUCGAAGAAGGGCAUCACUGGAUUGGUGGCAUGAAUCAGAUGUAUCGAGGCAAUUAGUUUGCUGGUUCAAGUCACAAUGGAAGCAAGCAAAGAGAUGGCGAAGGGAAGGCUCGCGGUUCAGCUAUGAUAUUCACAGCUAUUCUCAGAACUUUGAUGAUGGCUUUCUUGAUGAUUGUCACUCCCCAUGUGUUCCAUGAUUUACCAAUUCCUUUCUCUUUUUUCAUUAGAUGUAUCAGUCAAUUCGUUUGAAUAUCUACCACUUUGAUGAUGGUUUCCUUGCGGAUUACAAUUUACAACCAGCUUAUCUGAUUAGUUUUUAUCUCUGCAUCUCUAGGAAUGAUGAAAAAAAUUGCAAAUGAGUAGCAUUAUUUUUACAUGGAUAUAUGUAUCAUCUUUUUUCUACUUAUGGAGCAUAAUAGAUGAUCAUAAUUCUUAUUA
Molecule: RNA transcript, 2968 nt
Organism: Nelumbo nucifera (sacred lotus)
Lineage: Eukaryota; Viridiplantae; Streptophyta; Magnoliopsida; Proteales; Nelumbonaceae
Gene name: fanconi anemia group F protein (FANCF)
Source: RefSeq, a predicted model, not a curated record